RNAcentral lists this ribosomal RNA (727 nucleotides) under uncultured bacterium. RNAcentral describes it as "bacterial SSU rRNA". It matches the Rfam family "Bacterial small subunit ribosomal RNA", at positions 734 to 1460 of the family's 1533-position model. The record is from RNAcentral.
CUGUCACUGACGCUGAGGCUNGAAAGCGUGGGUAGCGAACAGGAUUAGAUACCCUGGUAGUNCACGCCGUAAACGAUGAGUGCUAGGUGUUAGGCCCUUUCCGGGGCUUAGUGCCGGAGCUAACGCAAUAAGCACUCCGCCUGGGGAGUACGACCGCAAGGUUGAAACUCAAAGGAAUUGACGGGGGCCCGCACAAGCGGUGGAGCAUGUGGUUUAAUUCGAAGCAACGCGAAGAACCUUACCAGGUCUUGACAUCCCGAUGCUAUUCUUAGAGAUAGGAAGUUACUUCGGUACAUCGGAGACAGGUGGUGCAUGGUUGUCGUCAGCUCGUGUCGUGAGAUGUUGGGUUAAGUCCCGCAACGAGCGCAACCCUUAUUGUUAGUUGCCAUCAUUAAGUUGGGCACUCUAGCGAGACUGCCGGUAAUAAACCGGAGGAAGGUGGGGAUGACGUCAAAUCAUCAUGCCCCUUAUGACCUGGGCUACACACGUGCUACAAUGGUCGGUACAACGAGUUGCGAGCCGGUGACGGCAAGCUAAUCUCUGAAAGCCGAUCUCAGUUCGGAUUGGAGGCUGCAACUCGCCUCCAUGAAGUCGGAAUCGCUAGUAAUCGCGGAUCAGCACGCCGCGGUGAAUACGUUCCCGGGCCUUGUACACACCGCCCGUCACACCACGAGAGUUUGUAACACCCGAAGUCGGUGAGGUANCCUUUUAGGGGCCAGCCGCNUAA